AUUUUAUUCAUUAAUAUAAACCUUAGUCCAAUUUCAAGCAUUUCAGCCACACCCAACCCAACUGGCUUCCAUUUAUAUAUGUUCCAAGCUAAGCAACUAUUGGAAAUAUAGCAUUACACCUAUCUCAACAAUGUUAAAAUAUUAAGUUUAGAGAAGCUUCUUAUUAUGACCACACCCACCAUGGCAAGGGUUCUUCCUCCUGCUGAUCUCCGGCCGUCACAAACACAUCAUCACUCCCAUCAUCCUCCUCUGAUUGCACGCUAUCACCUGGCCCUCCGAUUACACAUCCUCCAUAGUUAUCA
RNAcentral lists this unclassified non-coding RNA (302 nucleotides) under Hevea brasiliensis (rubber tree). Lineage: Eukaryota; Viridiplantae; Streptophyta; Magnoliopsida; Malpighiales; Euphorbiaceae. The record is from RNAcentral.